UCGCACAGACCAGAGAGAGUGUAAAAGGUGU
RNAcentral lists this non-coding RNA (31 nucleotides) under Homo sapiens (human). Lineage: Eukaryota; Metazoa; Chordata; Mammalia; Primates; Hominidae. The record is from RNAcentral.